RNAcentral lists this unclassified non-coding RNA (2823 nucleotides) under Leishmania donovani. RNAcentral describes it as "gene:LdHU3.09.0840(CDS-product:Zeta_toxin_putativ e)". Lineage: Eukaryota; Euglenozoa; Kinetoplastea; Trypanosomatida; Trypanosomatidae. The record is from RNAcentral.
AGCUACUAAUGCUUGGGGGCCCCACAGCGGUUGCUCGCCGUUUGUACGCGCGUGUGUAUUUUUGCAUGUGUGUAUGCGUGUGCACGUCCGUUCGUGACUGCCAACAUCCCUGCAUUGCUCGACUCCACAACCACAACGACCGCUCGCUAUCCUCCUUUGCGCCAGCGUCCGGCGCACGCGCGCAUCAGUUUGUGUAUUGCUGUCGCUGCCCCCACACGCUUGGUCUAUCACUCUUUUUCCUCUCUCGUCCUCCUGUUGCUCCGGUGUGUGUGUGUGUGUGUGUGUGCCCUUCUCGUGUCCCAGUAUCGAUGGCCACGACUGCCUCACCUCAGACGGGAUCAAGCCCCACCGUCCCUACACCUGUGGCACCGCCGUCGAUCGAUGAAGCACUGUCGUACUGGAUUGGGCUCUCGCGCCUCAUUCACCGCGUCUGCGUGACGUCCGACUCUACACCGUCCGCUGAUGAGUGCGUGCCAUCCGAUCGGCUCCAAAGAUGCAUCGGUAACGCGGAGGGCGAGCCGUCGACCUUUACUCGCUACGCCCUUCACCGUGUGCUGCUCUGCUGUGGCAUAAAGCAGCAUCGCGUUCGAAAGACCGCCGACCACAUGCUUGCACAGCUUCUCUCGGCAGCCUACACCACCGCAGCCGCCCUCACUGUGCCAGUCGUCUUGCUGGACAACGAAUCACCGGCAUCGACGCCUUUCCGUUCACCAGUGCGUCAGUUGCCCGUACCGUUGCCUGUUCUCGUGGCGGACUGGCUGAAGCAGUCCUCUGCUGACGAUCAGAACGCGUCCCAGCACAACCGCUACUGUCUGCGGGUCCCCGCCGUCACGUGGAGCAGGAGCAUCAUCAAGUGGUUGGGAAGUGAACUGCGAGGGCAGAUGAUUUCGCUGAGGCCGCUUUCCCGGUGGAGCAUGGUGUGUGCGCAACAGUCCGGACGCAUGCCUGUAGUCAUCUUUGUCGGCGGCGCCAGCGGCGCAGGGAAGAGCACGCUGGCCAGCCUGGUGGCGAGUCAGCUGCGCGUCCCAAACGUGCUGUCUACCGACACAGUGCGUCAGGUGUUGCGGACGCGCCUGUGUGGGCACGAGGCGCAGUUCCCGGCCCUCUUUGUGUCCACGUAUGAGGCGCACAAGGUGACGGCAGAUGAUGGUCACGUCUCCGCGGAUAACGGAUCUGCGGUGCCGCAUGCGCUGAGCGCCGACGAGAACGCCAUCGUUCAAGGGUACGAGGCACAGUGCGAGCUGGUCCUCCGCGUCCUUGACGGGAUGCUGGCGCGCCUCCUCGCUCGCCGCGAGUCGAUCGUGGUGGAAGGGGUGCAUUUGCUUCCGCGAUAUCUGGCGGCGAAGCGCGCCGAGCUUCUCGUGUCGCGUGUGGCCUGCGUUCCUGUUCUCGUGCGCAUCCCCAAGGCGGACAGUCACCUGGAGCGGCUCUGCAUCCGCGCACGCGGCAUGUCCAUGCGGGCGCAAAACAACAGGUACAUCGCCUCCUUCAAAGCAAUCCGCACCAUCCAAGCUCACCUGGUCGACAGUGUGGAGGCGGCAUCGCUGCCGGUUCUGGUGCUUUCGAACACGAACAUGGACAAGUCCUUCACCGCGCUCCACCACACCCUGUUGGAGACCAUGGAGUACGCCGCGGUGCACGGCUGGCCUGCGGACGCAGCAGCGGCGGCCGAAGUCCCUCUCACUGGGCUGGUCUUCACGUCUGUAAAAGACAGACUUGUUGCGGUGGUGCGGCAGCGGCAGUGUCGCCGCAGCGCCACAGAUGACAAGACCAACACGUCGAGCCGGACGGGUGCAUCCGCGCCGGGAGACGAGGAAAAGGGGGGCGUGGCAACGGGCCCCUGCGGCGCACUCGUACUCGCACCCCACGCACGACUGCCAGCUCAUUCCCCGGCGGGCAGCAGCAGCAGCAGCAGCAACGGUGCAGCGCCACGCGCUCGCUCUGCAGAGCUGCUGGGGGUGGUACAGCGUUGCCUUCUCGAGCAAGGCUUACGUUAUCACUCUCGCACCAGUAAUGCUCAGGCAGAUGCCGCAACGGUGUAUGGUUCGUCCGGCGUGCUCGGCGCGCGGGACGCCAGCAGUUGCUUCCACGCACACGUUGUCGUACGCCGCUCUUUCACCAUCGCGGCGAAGUCGCACAUCGGCCUGACCGCGUCGUCUCACCUUCCGUUAGCCGACCGCAACGACGAGCUCGACGAGGUGGAGAUGCCGUCCCUGAUCGGCUCAUGAAGGUGGUUCGAUUUAACUCGCACGUGCACACGUGAAGAAGAGGCGAGAGGGGGAUGUCAUGCAUAACGCCAACUUUUCAUUGCGCGUGGUUGUCGCUUGUUUGCUGCUCAUCACACCCGCACAGAACCGUCGGCAUCGUCAUCGCUUCCACUGCCGCCUCUCUCUCUCUCUCUGGGUGUUUGUACGUGGGGAAGGGGGCGGGAGGGGUUUGUUCUGUGACACACACACACACACAUGCCUCCCUCCUCCUCCCUGUCGUCGUCACUGCGCCUGUUGCGCACUGUUGCGGCCGCUACCAUGUUGCGUUGUCCUCUUUAGGAGUGUGUGAGGGGCCUCUCCUCACUCCUCCUUCCUCCCUCCUCCUCCCACCCCACCCUCGACUUCUUGCACCAACCACCAACCCUCCACGACUUGCAGAUCGCUCUGGAUUGACCGUAAUGACGGUGGCAACGCAGUCGCGUGCACGCUUGGGGGGGGGGGAGGGAAGGGCGGACCUUUUCUGCACUCGCGACAUGCGUGAUUCAAAAUUAACGCGAACGGGCUUACCUCACUCCUCUCUCUGCCUUUUAUUGUCAUCGCUUUCUUCUCGGUGAAG